AAGUAAGAAGCAAAUAAAUUGUAAUCAGUUUCGACCUGAUAGAAAGGUAUUUAAUAUACCCUUAUUUA
RNAcentral lists this transfer RNA (68 nucleotides) under Mantis religiosa (praying mantis). RNAcentral's name for it is "tRNA-Arg". The record is from RNAcentral. Lineage: Eukaryota; Metazoa; Arthropoda; Insecta; Mantodea; Mantidae.